This 497-nucleotide ribosomal RNA is filed under the name uncultured bacterium. Its description in RNAcentral is "partial 16S ribosomal RNA". It matches the Rfam family "Bacterial small subunit ribosomal RNA", at positions 28 to 507 of the family's 1533-position model. The record is from RNAcentral.
GAUGAACGCUGGCGGCGUGCCUAAUACAUGCAAGUCGAGCGAACAGACGAGGAGCUUGCUCCUCUGACGUUAGCGGCGGACGGGUGAGUAACACGUGGAUAACCUACCUAUAAGACUGGGAUAACUUCGGGAAACCGGAGCUAAUACCGGAUAAUAUAUUGAACCGCAUGGUUCAAUAGUGAAAGACGGUUUUGCUGUCACUUAUAGAUGGAUCCGCGCCGCAUUAGCUAGUUGGUAAGGUAACGGCUUACCAAGGCAACGAUGCGUAGCCGACCUGAGAGGGUGAUCGGCCACACGGGAACUGAGACACGGUCCAGACUCCUACGGGAGGCAGCAGUAGGGAAUCUUACGCAAUGGGCGAAAGCCUGACGGAGCAACGCCGCGUGAGUGAUGAAGGUCUUCGGAUCGUAAAACUCUGUUAUUAGGGAAGAACAAAUGUGUAAGUAACUAUGCACGUCUUGACGGUACCGAAUCAGAAAGCCACGGCUAACUACGUG